Molecule: unclassified non-coding RNA, 614 nt
Filed under: uncultured beta proteobacterium
Lineage: Bacteria; Pseudomonadati; Pseudomonadota; Betaproteobacteria
Description: partial contains 16S ribosomal RNA, 16S-23S ribosomal RNA intergenic spacer, and 23S ribosomal RNA
Rfam family: Bacterial large subunit ribosomal RNA (bases 474-614)
Source: RNAcentral
UGCGGCUGGAUCCCCUCCUUUCUAGAGUAGCACCAGGAGCUAACGCUCCAUCAUCAAGCGUCCACGCUUAUCGGCUGUUAAUAAAAACGAGAACAGUUCGGGUCUGUAGCUCAGUCGGUUAGAGCACCGUGUUGAUAACGCGGGGGUCGUUGGUUUGAAUCCAACCAGACCCACCAACGGUUAUCAGCAAACCUCGAUUGGGGGAUUAGCUCAGCUGGGAGAGCACCUGCUUUGCAAGCAGGGGGUCGUCGGUUCGAUCCCGUCAUCCUCCACCACUAUCUUUACGUAAGACCUGGUGUUUUAGGUAAGUGUAGUUCUCGUUCUUUAAAAAUCUGGAAGAAGUAAAGUUUUCUUUAAGCGUGUAGUUGAUCGCAAGAUCAAAUGCACACUUAGGGUAGUAAUCUGAAACACAAACACAGUUGUACUCUUGCCUGUAACGUCCUUGGUUUAGUCGCCAGGGGCCAACGUUAUAGGGACAAGUGAAUAAGUGCACAUGGUGGAUGCCUUGGCGAUUACAGGCGAUGAAGGACGUUGUAGCUUGCGAUAAGCUGCGGGGAGUGAGCAAACACACUUUGAUCCGCAGAUUGCCGAAUGGGGAAACCCCGAAGGGCGAA